Molecule: non-coding RNA, 378 nt
Organism: Paramuricea clavata
Lineage: Eukaryota; Metazoa; Cnidaria; Anthozoa; Malacalcyonacea; Plexauridae
Source: the annotation of a GenBank genome assembly
CGGGUAGCCUGCGAACAGGCUCUCAAGCUGAAUUGAGAGCCUGCAUCGAUGACUAAUGAAUUUGAAUACUUGCGUCUCAAAUCGUGACGCGAAAUUCUCAUUGGUCAGAUGCUAUAAUUUAUAUGUUUCCGCUGAACUCUAUAUAUGUCAACUGCUGAGUUAUGCAUAAAAAAACACAUUAACUGAUCAAAUUGGUCUUGGCCGUCUUAUCUCAAAGCACGAAAUGUUCUGUUUUGAGAAAACAGUAUUUAAAACAUUUGAACUUUUGCCUGAAUAUCUUAUAUUUCGAAAAACAGUAUGAACUGUACAGUCUAAAUUUAGUUUGCACGGUCUAAAUUUAGUUUGCACGAAAGUUGUAAACAACACCAUAUAAGGAUA